UGCGGAGGGUGCGAGCGUUAAUCGGAAUUACUGGGCGUAAAGCGCACGCAGGCGGUUUGUUAAGCUAGAUGUGAAAGCCCCGGGCUCAACCUGGGAUGGUCAUUUAGAACUGGCAGACUAGAGUCUUGGAGAGUGGAGUGGAAUUCCAGGUGUAGCGGUGAAAUGCGUAGAUAUCUGGAGGAACAUCAGUGGCGAAGGCGACUCCCUGGCCAAAGACCGACGCUCAUGUGCGAAAGUGUGGGUAGCGAACAGG
RNAcentral lists this ribosomal RNA (253 nucleotides) under uncultured bacterium. Its description in RNAcentral is "partial 16S ribosomal RNA". It matches the Rfam family "Bacterial small subunit ribosomal RNA", at positions 524 to 776 of the family's 1533-position model. The record is from RNAcentral.